Mycena polygramma is the source of this 95-nucleotide non-coding RNA. Lineage: Eukaryota; Fungi; Basidiomycota; Agaricomycetes; Agaricales; Mycenaceae. The record is from the annotation of a GenBank genome assembly.
GGGCACAUGGUGUAGUUGGUUAUCACGCUCGCUUAGCACGGCUUACGUAAUAAUCGGGCUGCGAGAGGUGUUGGGUUCAAUUCCCAAUGGACACA